RNAcentral lists this ribosomal RNA (121 nucleotides) under Penicillium salamii. Lineage: Eukaryota; Fungi; Ascomycota; Eurotiomycetes; Eurotiales; Aspergillaceae. The record is from RNAcentral.
ACAUACGACCACAGUGUGUGGAGAACAGGGCUUCCCGUCCGCUCAGCCGUACUUAAGCCACACGCCGGUGAGUUAGUGGUUGGGUGGGUGACCACCAGCGAAUCCUCACUGUUGUAUGUUU